CCUACGGGAGGCAGCAGUGGGGAAUAUUGGGCAAUGGGCGCAAGCCUGACCCAGCAACGCCGCGUGAAGGAAGAAGGCCCUCGGGUUGUAAACUUCUUUUAGCAAGGACGAAACAAAUGACGGUACUUGAUGAAUAAGUUACGGCUAACUACGAGCCAGCAGCCGCCGUACUACGUAGGAGGCAAGCGUUAACCGGAGUUACUGGGUGUAAAGGGCGUGUAGGCGGGACUGCAAGUCAGCUGUGAAACCCAUGGGCUCAACCCAGGGCCUGCAUUUGAAACUGGUGAUCUUGAGUGUUGGAGAGGCAAGCGGAAUUCCAUGUGUAGCGGUGAAAUGCGUAGAUAUACGGAGGAACACCAGUGGCGAAGGCGACCUGCUGGACAAUAACUGACGCUGAGGCGCGAAAGCGUGGGUAGCAAACAGGAUUAGAUACCCUAGUAGUC
RNAcentral lists this ribosomal RNA (443 nucleotides) under uncultured bacterium. RNAcentral describes it as "partial 16S ribosomal RNA". It matches the Rfam family "Bacterial small subunit ribosomal RNA", at positions 338 to 795 of the family's 1533-position model. The record is from RNAcentral.